GGCUUAGUGGUAGAGCAUCGGUCAUGAUAGCUGAUGACGUCGGUUCGAGUCCGAC
Molecule: transfer RNA, 55 nt
Filed under: Laccaria amethystina LaAM-08-1
Lineage: Eukaryota; Fungi; Basidiomycota; Agaricomycetes; Agaricales; Hydnangiaceae
Source: Rfam by way of RNAcentral